CUGGUACAAUUGGUUUCUCCCUUCUGACGAAGCAUGAUGUCAUUAAUUUGGUGUCGUGGGGAAUCAGGACUGUUACUUUGAAAAAAUUAGAGUGUUUAAAGCAAGCAUUAGCUUGAAUACAUUAGCAUGGAAUAAUGAAAUAGGACGUUUGAUCCUAUUUCGUUGGUUUCUAGGAUCGACGUAAUGAUUAAUAGGGAUAGUUGGGGGCAUUAGUAUUCAAUUGUCAGAGGUGAAAUUCUUGGAUUUAUUGAAGACUAACUACUGCGAAAGCAUUUGCCAAGGAUGUUUUCAUUAAUCAAGAACGAAAGUUAGGGGAUCGAAGACGAUCAGAUACCGUCGUAGUCUUAACCAUAAACUAUGCCGACUAGGGAUCGGAUGAUGUUAAUUUUUUAAUGACUCAUUCGGCGCCUUACG
This 414-nucleotide ribosomal RNA is filed under the name uncultured Glomeromycotina. RNAcentral's name for it is "SSU rRNA". It matches the Rfam family "Eukaryotic small subunit ribosomal RNA", at positions 680 to 1092 of the family's 1831-position model. Lineage: Eukaryota; Fungi; Glomeromycota. The record is from RNAcentral.